GGGGGAGUAGCUCAGAUGGCUAGAGCGUUUGACUGGCAGUCAAGAGGUCGUGGGUUCGAUUCCCAUCUUCUCCACAA
RNAcentral lists this transfer RNA (77 nucleotides) under Flavobacteriaceae bacterium TMED184. Its description in RNAcentral is "tRNA-Ala". It matches the Rfam family "tRNA". From Rfam's summary of the family: Transfer RNA (tRNA) molecules are approximately 80 nucleotides in length. Their secondary structure includes four short double-helical elements and three loops (D, anti-codon, and T loops). The record is from RNAcentral. Lineage: Bacteria; Pseudomonadati; Bacteroidota; Flavobacteriia; Flavobacteriales; Flavobacteriaceae.